ACCUCGUUAGCUCAGUCGGAACCCAGAGCGCCGGUUCGCGAGGCCGGAGGUCGCACGUUCGAAUCGUGCACGAGGUCCCA
Molecule: transfer RNA, 80 nt
Filed under: Burkholderiales bacterium
Lineage: Bacteria; Pseudomonadati; Pseudomonadota; Betaproteobacteria; Burkholderiales
Description: tRNA-Arg
Rfam family: tRNA
About the family: Transfer RNA (tRNA) molecules are approximately 80 nucleotides in length. Their secondary structure includes four short double-helical elements and three loops (D, anti-codon, and T loops).
Source: RNAcentral